AAACAAUAAAGCUUAAAUAAAUCACUUUAUACAUGACUUUGAUGAAGAUUAAACAAGUCACUGGAGUCUCAGUCUUACUAAAAGAUAUCUAUUGAGAUGCUACAAGAUUGGGAUGGUAUAGGUCAUUACAAGAUUGGGAUGAUAUAGGUCACUACAAGAUUGGGAUGAUAUAGGUCACUACAAGAUUGGGAUGAUAUAGGUCACUACAAGAUUGGGAUGAUAUAGGUCACUACAAGAUUGGGAUGAUAUAGGUCACUACAAGAUUGGGAUGAUAAGGCCACUACAAGAUUGGGAUGAUAAGGCCACUACAAGAUUGGGAUGAUAUAGGUCACUACAAGAUUGGGAUGGUAUAGGUCACUACAAGAUUGGGAUGAUAUAGGUCACUACAAGAUUGGGAUGAUAUAGGUCACUACAAGAUUGGGAUGAUAAGGCCACUACAAGAUUGGGAUGAUAAGGCCACUACAAGAUUGGGAUGAUAUAGGUCACUACAAGAUUGGGAUGAUAUAGGUCACUACAAGAUUAGGAUGAUAUAGGUCACUACAAGAUUGGGAUGAUAUAGGUCACUACAAGAUUGGGAUGAUAUAGGUCACUACAAGAUUGGGAUGAUAUAGGUCACUACAAGAUUGGGAUGAUAUAGGCCACUACAAGAUUGGGAUGAUAUAGGUCACUACAAGAUUGGGAUGGUAUAGGUCACUACAAGAUUGGGAUGAUAUAGGCCACUACAAGAUUGGGAUGAUAUAGGUCACUACACGAUUGGGAUGAUAUAGGUCACUACACGAUUGGGAUGGUAUAGGCCACUACAAGAUUGGGAUGAUAUAGGCCACUGCAAGAUUGGGAUGAUGUAGGCUACUACAAGAUUGGGAUGAUAUAGGUCACUACAGGAUUGGGAUGAUAUAGGCCACUACAAGAUUGGGAUGGUAUAGGUCACUACAAGAUUGGGAUGAUAUAGGUCACUACAAGAUUGGAAUGGUAUUACUAUAUAUAUAUAUAUAGCCAGCAAUACCUACACAGUAUAAAACUAAACCAGAUAUAAAGAUAUUGUAUAUAACUACUAACACAUGUAGAUUAUAAAGGUCAGUGCAGAAUUCAGUAAUUUUACUGGGAGAAGUCAGGACUCUCAUGGGAGGAGAUAGGGGUUUCCUCAAAGUUAGAUUUUUACUUGGAGCAAUUCAGGGAGAAGUCACUGGAUUUUCCUUGGAGAAAGUGUUCUUUUCCCAAGAAAAAUCAAUAAGUUUCCUUCCCUGAGAGAAAUUAACUGACAUUUUGUAGGUGCAAUCCAUGGGCUUCCUUUCCUAAGAGAGUUAAAUUCAGUAUUUUAAUAGGAGAAAUUGAUGGGCUUCCUUCCAUGAAAGAAAUGAGAGGCUUUCAUUGGUGAAAUCAAGAAUUGUUUUCAUUCAUGAGGCAGAUUAGGGACUUUUGUAGAAAUCAAUGGGCUUCCUUUCCAAGUAAAACUAGGGGAUUUUUGUGAGAGAAAUCAGUAGGUAUGUUAGUAUUUUGGGAACUGAUCAUUAUAUUGAUUGGGUGGAGGGAUGGGUGAGUGUGGGGGAUUGGGGAGCGACAUUCUUUUCUCUACCACUUUCUAGUAACUCUCUUGUUUAGAUUAGGUCAUGUUUCUCUGGCCUUGUUUCACAGCCUGUAUUUAGUGAUAUAUACAACACAACUGUUAUCAUAACCAGAAAAUAUGAUUUAUUUUAUAAGAUAUAGAGGCAUUUAUUGGAUUUGUAGUUUUCAUUACAGAUUCCUGUUGAAUUUUGGCAAUGUAGCUUAAACUAGACAAUUAUUAGUUCACUAUCAGGACUCCUAAUAUGAAGAACAAAUUAGACAGACAGCUACAAUCAGUUUUUAUACCAAUUAUGCAGCUUGUUUGAUUGAAAAGGUGAAUUGAGUCCUUGUGAAUAAUUGUAAUACUACAAAAUAUUAAUUAGUAUUCAUACAAAAGAUGAUAACCUUGGAAUUUCAAUAAAAUUGUCCAGUAACACAUUACAGCCAAUGAUAUUUUGAAGAGUAUUAAAAUUCAUUAGAAUUAUUUCAUGAUACCAUUUUCUGUCCGAGUUAAAUGUCUAUUUUGAAGUAUAAAACAUGAAACACAUGUUCUGCUUGAAAACAUUGAAAAUCAACAGGGAUCCAUUAAAGUGUCAUUAAUGAUUGAAUUAACAUAGUAAUACUUACCUACAACAGUAUGUAGUGGACAUAAACAUGUAUCUCCUGAUAAAACCAGACAAAGGUUUUUAAAUAUAUACCUGAUGGAUUCUACAUCAAAAUAUAAAUCUCAAGAUCAUGAUCUAAUGUACAUUUGUAUUAUGAUGAUGUAGUAUGUGUAUAUAACAAACUACCUUUGUCAUUGUUCAGACAUUAUGUGUGGUACUCGCACCCCUAUUCUGUAUGUAGUGUAGACUGACACAGCAUGUCCUUACUUUAUCUAGUGCUUACGUAACAAAUGGCAUGUUUUCUGGAGAAACAGGGCUUUUAUCUAUAUGUGUAUGUCAUCAAUGUUUAAAUAAUAUUAGAGUUGUGAUGCAGCAAUUAUUGUUUUACUUCUAGUAUUUACAAAAUAAUUGGUUAUCUUGUUAUAUCGGUGAUUAUUAAGGGAAAGAAUCUUUUCAGAACUUCAUAUUCUUCAGUAAAUAAAUAUCCAAGCUAAUGAUAAAAUAGCUCUUGAAAUAUGGAUAUUUGAUAUUAUUCCUGAUUUUCUGUGUGAAUUUGUGACCAGAAUGUGGUGUGACAUAUCAGGGAUACGUAGGUGUGACAGAUGUUGUUGUUUUUAGAUAUAGAGAAAACUUAACCUGGUUUGUGAUGUAUGUCUGUGAUAUAGGAAAAUGGGAGUGACAGGUAUUUUUGUGUUUUAUUAGGUCCCCUGAGACAAAGUCUCAGAUGACCUAUUGCAAUUGCCUUUUGUCCGCUGUCGUCUGUCCCAAACAAUUUACAUUUUCGACUUCUUCUCCAAAACUGCUGAACCAAAUUGAAUGAAACUUUACAGGAAGCUUCAAUGACCAAAGGUCAACCAAAGUUGUGAAUUAUAUGGUCCCCACCCCUCAGGGGCCUGAGGGGCAGGGCCAAAAAGAGUCAACUUGACUAAAAUUUCAAAAAUCUUAUUAACUCCCAGAUAUGGUGGAUUCUCUAAUACUUUUCAUAGAUAGAAAGAUCUUAAAGUCCUUUACCAAGAUUGUGAAUUUCAUUACCCUGGGGUCUCACAUUUCCCGGUGAGGAGGGGGUAAAGUUUAUUAUAGUUUAUAUAUAGAGAAAACACAUUUUUGACCAUUAUUUGUUCCAAUUGCCAUUGGAAUACGUGUGUAAUACAUACUUUGUUAGAAUUAUCAGUAUAGGAUAUCUGUUGAAUAGUAUGCUCAUAUGUGCACUGACUGACCCCCAGAGAAUAGAGGAGCAGAGCCAAAAAGGGGCAAAUUAACUGAAAUUUAAAAAAAAUAUAAACUUGCCAUCUUCUCAAGUCCCAAAUAAGGUAGAAUCAAAUAUUCUACAUAGAUGGAAGGGUCUUAAAGUCCUUUACUAAAAUUGUGAACUCAAUGACCCUGAGUUCUAGCGUUUGCCCCUGGGGAGGGGAUAAACGUUAUUAUAUAUAGGGAAAUCACAUUUGUUUGAUUUCAUUUGGAAUUCAUUCUAAGUUGGUUAACAUCAUCACCAUGGGAUGACAGCUUUAUGGUGUGCACAUGUUGGCCCUGACUGAUCCCCAGGUGCUUAUGGGUGGGGCCCAAAAGGUCAAAUGUACUGAAAUAUUUUAAAACUCAGGUGACCGAUAAGGUCCAUGGGCCUCUUGUAUAGAGACAAUUUAACCUGGUUUGUGAUGUCUGUCUGUGGUAUAGAACUGCUGGAGUGACAGGUAUUUUUGUGUUUUAUAUAGAGAAAAUUUAACCUGGUGUGUGAUGUAUGUCUGUGAUAUAUAUAUGGCAGUGACAAAUAUAACUAUGUUAUAUAGAAAACAGUUGUGUUUGUACAAGAAACAUAAUCAUAUACAAUAUACAUUGUGUGUGUGUUACAUAAAAAACAAUAAAACAAUGAUCACAAUAUA
Molecule: long non-coding RNA, 4024 nt
Organism: Pecten maximus
Lineage: Eukaryota; Metazoa; Mollusca; Bivalvia; Pectinida; Pectinidae
Exons: 2
Source: RefSeq, a predicted model, not a curated record